UGUUUAGGUCCGGGACCUUUCUAAAACCGUGUAAAAUUAGGGCUAGCAGGUAUUUUCAUUGAAAAAAAAAAAAGCAGUCUUUUUUGUAAUUUUCACAAAGAGUAAAAAAUAUAUAAGAUCCACAACAGCACAGUGAUCAAUGAACAUCUUUAACAAUUACACUCUUCUGAAGUUUACAUAUUGUGGUCUCUCAGGGGCUGCAGUGAUUGGCAUGAAUAAAUCUUGCUCCACUUGUGUUAAUGCAUUGGAUAAAACAUUAGGAACACUUUUAAUAUAAUGCAAAGAUACAUUUUACCUUUUUAAAGGUUAUUAUUCAUGUCAGAGUUUCUGCAUUGGAUUGCAUGUGUGUUCCCAAUAAAACGCUCUGUUAGUCUGCUAAUACUGAAUCAACAGAGUUCUGUUAACAUUGAAACACUGAUCAUCUGCACACAAGCAGCUGUGACUCAUCAACGUGUGUGUUUGACAUGGAAAGUCAGCCCAGCUCUAGUCAGACACUGUUGAAUGCAAACAGUCAGCCACUGAUUUUAAAAUGACUGUUGCCAUUUCUGUUAGAGAUGUCCAGCUUCGGGAGGUGGAACAAAUAUCUGAUACGUCUUUUAAAGAGUCUACUUAAAAAAUAAACUAAUAAGUAAAAGUUUGGUCAACGGGACAAAGCAAAGAAAGGAAGAAAGGAACAACUCCAUCUCCCAUCGUCCCACGGUGUCACAACAACAAACGAGAGGCAGGGCAGGCAGCUGGGAGCGAAGGAGACAGGCAGACCGCGUAAAGAGAAGCCAAGUGAGAGAGUUUUCCUUCCACAUCCAUGGAGGUUUUCUCCCGCAGCAGAGGCGCGCAACAGACGGCAGAGGAAUCCGCGUAACAUGGCCAAAAAUCAGGAGGUGGAGCGCAUCGCCAAAAAGCUGGAUAAAAUGGUGCACAAGAAGAACACGGAUGGUGCUCUUGACUUACUGAGGGAACUGAAGAACAUGAAGAUGUCUCUGGAGACCCUGCAGUCAACCAGAGUUGGGAUGUCGGUGAAUGCGGUGAGGAAGCAGAGCUCAGAUGAAGAGGUUCAGACUCUGGCCAAAACUCUCAUCAAGGCCUGGAAGAAACUGCUGGAUGGUUCAGAGGGGAAGUCAGAGGAGAAGAAGAAGAACGAAGGAUCACCUGUGAGGUCAUCGUCCACCUCCAAGGACUCCGAGGGCAGCGACAAAAGCUGUAAGAAGUCUACGGAGACCCCAACCCCUCCAUCCACACCCACCACCCCCACCACUCCCACCCUCCCUCCCCGGGUCACCACCUUCCCCCCUGCCCCCGUCACCACAGACAACGUGCGGAACAAGUGUCGAGAGCUGCUGGUGGCCGCCCUGCAGACUGAUGACGACCAUAAGACCAUUGGAGUGGACUGUGACCACCUGGCGGCACAAAUUGAAGAACAGAUCUUCCAGGAGUUCAAGUCGACAGAUAUGAAAUACAAAACCCGCCUACGAAGUCGCAUCUCCAACCUGAAGGACCAGAAGAAUCCAGACCUGCGGCGUAACGUCCUGUGUGGAAACAUCUCGCCUCAGCGCAUUGCCUGUAUGACAGCCGAGGAGAUGGCAAGCGCCGAGCUGAAGCAGAUCAGAGAGGCCCUGACCAAAGAGUCCAUCAGAGAGCAUCAGCUGUCGAAGGUCGGAGGAACCGAGACGGACAUGUUCAUCUGCAACAAGUGUCAUGGAAAGAGCUGCACGUACACACAGAUUUAUGGGUUUUGUGUGUCGUAGGUGCAGACCCGCAGCGCUGACGAGCCCAUGACAACCUUUGUGUUGUGUAACAGCUGCGGCAAUCGAUGGAAGUUCUAUUGAAGAAGAGCCAUGUGUGCGUUGUUCCACUGAGAAGCAAACUGACUGAAAUAUUGAAUUUGGAUUUAAAAGAUUUGUUUUAUUUUUUUUUUUUUUAAUUUUGUAAACUUUAUAUAAAACGUUGUAAUAUAUUUGGAGGAAAAAUAUGCCAGUUCAUGUUGUUUAUUGGUUUCAUUUGUUUUGUAUGAAGCACUUUGAGUUUCUUAAGGUAGACGAAGCUUUAAGCCAGAUUUAAAUCACAGUUAGGCCUUGUGGGAACAGAGGAUGUGCCUUUCUUUGCCAUGUUGUGCUGCCACACAUUUUGCCUGUGACAUUUAUAUUAAAGUUGCUCUUGGAUUAAGAUCAAA
RNA transcript from Mugil cephalus (flathead mullet), 2167 nucleotides. It is a transcript of the gene named transcription elongation factor A (SII), 2, with no coding region annotated. The record is from RefSeq and is a predicted model, not a curated record. The transcript is spliced from 10 exons. NCBI's taxonomy places the organism in Eukaryota, Metazoa, Chordata, Actinopteri, Mugiliformes, Mugilidae.